GGGCCCUGCAGGCUGGAUAGACUGACUUGGUGGGCCCGAUGCGACCCGCAGACCAUAUUUUGCCCACCCCUGAGUUAAUUGUUCUCUGAUACUAUUCAAUGGCAUGGCUCUGCGAGUGUCUCUGAAGUGCUCGCUGUGAGCGUAGCACUAUUCCAAGUACCAACUGAAGAUGGUACCUUCCCCAAGAAGUAUCCAAAGAGGAUCAGACCAUUGCAAGUGCAUCAAUGUAAGGUGCCUGUGCCAGUUGGAUAAAUAUUUUGGGAUUUGCCCUGUUAUAACAAUGACCUCUACAGUGCCUUACAAUUCAUAGUCUAAAGUGCUCAGUCCAAGUGAUCAAGCCCUACUGCAAUUAAUCAAGUGGUAUACCUCCAGUUUCGGGUGUUGGGCUCGAGCAAUCAAGCCAUACUAUAGUUAAGCAAAUGAUAAACCUCCAGAGCGAUCAAGGGUUUUGUGCAUGUCAGUCUUGCCCACAACAACCAGAGAUAGAUCCAAAAGUGUAGCAUUUAGAACACAACUGUCAGCUGUACAACUCCACCCUGUCAGCUUUAUCUGGACCCGGAUCUUCAACCCAUCAAGAAAAUAUGCUUUGAAGAAACAGUAUAAAGCAAGACAGAAUUGCCAACAAGGUGUGUGCAGUCCAGGAAAGACCAAGAAGCCAUCCUGCCACCCAGCCAACAAGUGAAGGAUCCACACUUUGAGGGCUGUACAAGAACUGCUUCUUGCCUGCAUUGGGUAAAGAUCUCUUUGGAGCUAAAGCAAUACUAGGACUAUUAGCUCACUUUAUAUUAGGAAAGAGUCUUUUUCUGUUACUUAGUUUUGUAGCUUGUUAGUAGUUAUUAAAACUAG
Alligator sinensis (Chinese alligator) is the source of this 846-nucleotide long non-coding RNA. RefSeq lists it as uncharacterized. The transcript is spliced from 3 exons. The record is from RefSeq and is a predicted model, not a curated record. NCBI's taxonomy places the organism in Eukaryota, Metazoa, Chordata, Crocodylia, Alligatoridae.